GGAUGCUAUCAUACCAGCACUAAAGCACCGGAUCCCAUCCGAACUCCAAAGUUAAGCGUGCUUGGGCGAAGUAGUAUUAGAUAAGUACCUCCUGGAAAGUCCUCGUGUUGCAUUCC
This 116-nucleotide ribosomal RNA is filed under the name Triticum dicoccoides. Lineage: Eukaryota; Viridiplantae; Streptophyta; Magnoliopsida; Poales; Poaceae. The record is from RNAcentral.